Molecule: long non-coding RNA, 430 nt
Organism: Myotis daubentonii (Daubenton's bat)
Lineage: Eukaryota; Metazoa; Chordata; Mammalia; Chiroptera; Vespertilionidae
Source: RefSeq, a predicted model, not a curated record
CCCCGAAGGAGUGAGUGCUUCUGCCCGUGGUAGGCUCUGUGAUCUUGAGGACGUCCUCUCUCCGAGUGACCCCUCUCGAUUCCCUAGGGCCGCGCUUGCCCUCUGUCCGAGUCUCCUGCAUCGGCGCCUGGACGCGGCAACAUAACCCUUGCUAACGCUCGAGUUAAGAGGAACUUUUACGCGAGUCUGCGGCUCUGCCUACGGGGACCUUUACCCAGCAUCAGCAGGAGCCACCCUCAGGAGCCCUUUUGUGCUGCCCGGCACGUCCACAGCAAUUAGAGCAAAAGGACAGAGAACCAUUUCUCUAAGAGCAGGAGCUUUGUAUGUCUUUGAUCAUUGCUGUCUUCCAGAGCCUAGAACAGAACCUGGCACACAGUAGAUGCUCAAUGUUGUAUUUAUUAAAUGAAUGAAAUUAAAUGGAACAAACAUA